AAAGCGGAUUUGUCCUCGAGUAGGGCGGGACACGAGAAAUCCUGUUUGAACAUGGGGGGACCACCCUCCAAGCCUAAGUACUCCUCGAUGACCGAUAGUGAACUAGUACCGUGAGGGAAAGGUGAAAAGCACCCCGACGAGGGGAGUGAAAGAGACCUGAAACCGGAUGCCUACAAGCAGUGGGAGCGGGUUCUCCCGUCAGAUGACAGGUAACGGGUAUCAGGUAUCAGAAAUUUGCACGUCUGAUUCCUGAUCCCUGACUUCUGACAUCUGAUCGGUGAACCCGUGACCGCGUACCUUUUGUAUAAUGGGUCAGCGAGUUGGUGUUGCGAGCAAGCUUAAGCCGUUAGGUGUAGGCGUAGCGAAAGCGAGUCUGAAUAGGGCGCCUGAGUUCGUAGUAUCAGACCCGAAACCUGGUGAUCUAGCCAUGGGCAGGUUGAAGGUGGGGUAACACCCACUGGAGGACCGAACCCACCUAUGUUGAAAAAUGGGGGGAUGACCUGUGGCUAGGGGUGAAAGGCCAAUCAAACCAGGAAAUAGCUGGUUCUCCGCGAAAACUAUUUCGGUAGUGCGUCGUGUGUUUACCGCCGGGGGUAGAGCACUGGAUGGGCUAGGGGGCUCUACAGGCUUACCAAACCUAACCAAACUCCGAAUACCGGCGAGUAUGAGCGCGGCAGACAGACCAUGGGUGCUAAGGUCCGUGGUCGAAAGGGAAACAGCCCAGACCGCCAGCUAAGGUCCCCAAGUCAUGGCUAAGUGGGAAAGGAAGUGGGAAGGCCAAGACAACCAGGAGGUUGGCUUAGAAGCAGCCAUCCUUUAAAGAAAGCGUAACAGCUCACUGGUCUAGACAAGCCGUCCCGCGCCGAAGAUGUACCGGGGCUCAAGCCAUGCACCGAAGCUGCGGACGUGUGCUUGCACACGUGGUAGCGGAGCGUUCCGUAGGCCUGCGAAGGUGUGCCGCGAGGCAUGCUGGAGGUAUCGGAAGUGAGAAUGCUGACAUGAGUAGCGAUAAAGAGGGUGAGAAACCCUCUCGCCGAAAGUCCAAGGGUUCCUGCGCAAGGCUAAUCCGCGCAGGGUGAGCCGGCCCCUAAGGUGAGGGCGAAAGCCGUAGCCGAUGGGAACCAGGUUAAUAUUCCUGGGCCUGCCGGAGGUGACGAACGCCGAUAGUCGUAUCCGCUUAUCGGAUUGUGGGUGCGGCGUAGGCGUUCCAGGAAACAACCCCGGCAUUACAGACCGUACCCCAAACCGACACAGGUGGACAGGUAGAGCAUACCAAGGCGCUUGAGAGAACGGUGUUGAAGGAACUCGGCAAAUUGCACCCGUAACUUCGGGAUAAGGGUGACCUCCCGCCGGGCAACCGGUGGGGGGUGGCACAGACCAGGGGGUGGCGACUGUUUACUAAAAACACAGGGCUCUGCGAAGUCGCAAGACGACGUAUAGGGUCUGACGCCUGCCCGGUGCCGGAAGGUUAAGAGGAAGGGUGAGAGCUCUGAAUCGAAGCCCCGGUAAACGGCGGCCGUAAAUAUAACGGUCCUAAGGUAGCGAAAUUCCUUGUCGGGUAAGUUCCGACCUGCACGAAUGGCGUAACGACUUCCCCGCUGUCUCCAACACCGACUCAGCGAAAUUGAAUUCUCCGUGAAGAUGCGGAGUACCCGCGGUUGGACGGAAAGACCCCGUGCACCUUUACUACAGCUUUGCAGUGGUACUAGGGGGUGACUGUGUAGGAUAGGUGGGAGGCUUUGAAGCGUGGGCGUCAGCUCACGUGGAGCCAACCUUGAAAUACCACCCUUUUGUUCUCUGGUAUCUAACCGUGGCCCGUUAAUCCGGGUCCGGGACCCUGCAUGGUGGGUAGUUUGGCUGGGGCGGUCGCCUCCCAAAGAGUAACGGAGGCGCGCGAUGGUGGGCUCAAGCUGGUCGGAAAUCAGCUGUUGAGUGUAAUGGCACAAGCCUGCCUGACUGCGAGACUGACAGGUCGAGCAGAGACGAAAGUCGGCCAUAGUGAUCCGGUGGUCCCGCGUGGAAGGGCCAUCGCUCAUCGGAUAAAAGGUACGCCGGGGAUAACAGGCUAAUACCCCCCAAGAGUUCACAUCGACGGGGGUGUUUGGCACCUCGAUGUCGGCUCAUCACAUCCUGGGGCUGGAGCAGGUCCCAAGGGUUCGGCUGUUCGCCGAUUAAAGUGGUACGUGAGCUGGGUUUAGAACGUCGUGAGACAGUUCGGUCCCUAUCUGCCGUGGGUGUAGGAGACUUGAGAGGAGCUGCCCCUAGUACGAGAGGACCGGGGUGGACGUACCUCUGGUGGACCAGUUGUCGCGCCAGCGGCACAGCUGGGUAGCUAAGUACGGACGGGAUAACCGCUGAAAGCAUCUAAGCGGGAAGCCUCCCUCGAAACCAGGUCUCCCUUGAGAGCCGUGGAAGACCACCACGUUGAUAGGCCGGGUGUGGAAGCGUGGCAACACGUGGAGCUAACCGGUACUAAUCGCUCGAUAGGCUUGAGAGC
Molecule: ribosomal RNA, 2497 nt
Filed under: marine sediment metagenome
Description: bacterial LSU rRNA
Rfam family: Bacterial large subunit ribosomal RNA
Source: RNAcentral